RNAcentral lists this ribosomal RNA (444 nucleotides) under Triticum aestivum (bread wheat). RNAcentral's name for it is "partial small subunit ribosomal RNA". The record is from RNAcentral. Lineage: Eukaryota; Viridiplantae; Streptophyta; Magnoliopsida; Poales; Poaceae.
AUGGCGAUGGCGGAGGUGUGGAACACGAUGGAUUCGAGUUCCUAUCAGAUCCCCUUGAUAGAUUUCCCCUGUGGGAUCUUACCGGCGGCGACUCCAUACUCCGAAACGAACCCACUGGAACUCUCCUCUGCACACCCUCCGAGUCUAGCAUCGGCGACGCGGGUGAGGCAGCGCUUGGAAGCAGAUUUCAACAGCGCUUGCAGGGGCGCGACACUGUCAGCUCCAACCUCAGAGCAGUCAACUAGCAAAGAUGAUCCUCAGACGCCCGGCUGGACCAAAAGGGUUCGCGUUGGGCAUGCACCAACUGAACGUCCACCAUGUGCUGGCAGGAUAAGUGCCCUGGAGAAAGCAUUGAGAGGUUAUGCAAAUGAGAAGACUGCCACAGUCAUUGUCCCUGGUCCCUGCUGUUGGAAACAAAUUCAAUUCACUCGGGGAGGCAUGUGA